RNAcentral lists this ribosomal RNA (440 nucleotides) under uncultured bacterium. RNAcentral describes it as "partial 16S ribosomal RNA". It matches the Rfam family "Bacterial small subunit ribosomal RNA", at positions 338 to 795 of the family's 1533-position model. The record is from RNAcentral.
CCUACGGGCGGCAGCAGUGGGGAAUAUUGCACAAUGGGCGCAACCCUGAUCCAGCAACGCCGCGUGGGUGAAGCAGGUUUUCGGAUUGUAAAGCCCUUUCCGCGGGGACGCUGGUGACGGUACCCGCAGAAGAAGCCCCGGCUAACUCCGUGCCAGCAGCCGCGGUAAUACGAAGGGGGCGAGCGUUGCUCGGAAUGACUGGGCGUAAAGGGAGAGUAGGCGGAUCGGGAAGUCGGGCGUGAACUCCCCGGGCUCAACCCGGGACCUGCGCAUGAGACGGGGGGUCUGGAGUGAGGGAGAGGGUAGCGGAAUUCCCGGUGUAGAGGUGAAAUGCGUAGAUAUUGGGAGGAACACUGGUGGCGAAGGCGGCGACCUGGACCUUGACUGACGCUGAGGCGCGACGGCGUGGGGAGCAAACAGGAUUAGAUACCCCAGUAGUC